UGGGGGAGUGGCUGAGGGUGGCAGUUGCUUAGAUUGCUGAAAGAAGUCCAUCACUGAGGGGGCAGACUAUGAGUUUAAUGCCUUGUUCCACUGCCAGUUCUUUCCUCCUGUGGCUUGAAGAAGUGUGCCUCCAGCUUCCUGUUCCCACGACCACCACCACAUGUCACUUGCUGCCGUGCUUACCUGUCAUGAUGAAUUCUUAUCUCUCAGGAAUGCUGUGAUGUGGCCAACUGCCUGAGUUCCUGUCUUGACUUCCCAGAAAUAAUGGACAAUGACCUGGAAAACUAAAGUCUGACCCAAGGAAGACCCACCUAGUGGUAGGGUCACAAAAGUGACCGAUUCAUCCUCCUGCCCCUCCCAUAUAAUCUGGAUCAACAGUUGCCUCUGGAAAGCAAAGAUGCUAAGAUUUCAGUCUCCAACAUGCACUGGCCAUGUCCUUGUGGUUUGCCAGUGCAUUGGUUUUGCAAUUAAAAGCUGAAAGGGCUUGAAAGGAAACAGUGAGUCUGACCUUGGAGGAUGUCCUGUUCUCAACCCCACUGAGUCAUCCAAGAAUUUAUGAGCCAGUCAUACCAUCUGCAGAGGACUGAGUCUCCCACAGGACCCACUGCACAAACUGUUGUGGACUUAACAUUACCGAUGCCUAUCCAUCAAACAGUAUCUUUCCUAGGAAACUGCCUGGAGGACCAGCAUCUGUCAGAAGCUCAGGUCCUGCUGCUGCUGACCAAGGCAAGAAGAAGCACUCAUCCCUGGACAUUUUUCCAAGGUGCUCAAUACAAAGUGGAUGGUUGCCGAUGCCUUUUUUUCAUAUAGGAAUUUAAAGACCAUCAUCAUGCCAAUUGGAGCAUUUCUCGUCAACUCUUAAUCAGCCUUGCAGAGUUGCUAAAUGCUUUAAGAAACCAUUUACUGGGGUACAUGGUAGAGAAACAGUUUCAAACUGCAGGGGUCUUUGGUCCUUAUUAAUACUCAGAUUUCUCUGAACCCAGAGGAAGGCAAGGCUCAACAGUUUAAGGGAGAUUCAAGUGGAAACAAACAGACCCAUUCAGAGCAGUGGGAACAUGCUAACACUCCUGUUAAAUGUUAACUCCCUUUAAAAAUAAAAAUAACAUGGAGAGAGAGCUCUGGUGGGGGGAUAGAUCGCUCUCUAGAUUAGGCAAAUUCUGUUGUUUCAGGUGGUUAACCUUGUUGUUCCAAUCCCCAGCCUGGAGUUAAAAAACAAAACCACAAGCCUGAAGGUCAGUCCUCAGCACAGUAGUCUGAAUGGGGCCGUAUUAACAGUAACUAAAUACCUUGGACUUGGGACAUUGGGACCGUGGCCCUUUGGCUUCUCAGAAGAACUUAAAGAUAGCUACACAGGAACAUGAACAGCUAGCUUGUUUUUCACAGGGAACUCCAUAGAAAUACCUCUCACAGGGCGAUACUCUGAGACCCACUGUCUCGUGGAAGCUUGUUCCUGGGGUCAAGUAUGUGAUUGGACUAGGGUAUAUGUGUGACAUUAGUUUUGGGCUAUCCCUGGAUAGGAACCUGACACAGGUACGUCGAAAUGAAUUUCCACAGUUCCUUCCUGUUGGCUUCCCUGGUAGCUAGAACCUCAGCUGUGUGAAAUGCUAGAUCAGGGAAGGACUUGCUCAGCCACGUCACUGAAAGGCCAACAGAGUAAACGCUGUCACAGCUGAUGUGUUGCUAAGUUGAGAAAGUGAUCAUCAUAGCGAUGGCUUUACAGAUGCCAGCUCUGGGAAAUGUGACCAAGUCUCUGAGGACAGGAACAGGUGCGAGUGCAGGGAACAGAGGGAAGAAAGACAUCAAGGGUUCAAUACAACGUUCUAAACAAAACACACGGCACCGCAAUCUCUCACCGACAGAAACAGGCAUUCACAUUUCCAUACUGCCAGGGGCAUUGGCCUUGGACAUCUUCAUGGGUGUGCUAACUUUUUAUGCAUAAACUUUUUAUGCAAAUUUAUUCCAUAGAACUUGGCUGUGUCUAGAUCGAAAGCCACAGAUCCACCACAGCCCACCCAGCAGGAAGCACCUGGGCAGAAGCUUUAAAAGUUAUCCUGCAGGUCACAUCUCAGAUUGUUUUAGGACAUGAAUUGGUACAGAAGUACUUAAGGAGAACUUGCACUUCUGAUGUCUCCAGCUAUGGGGAAUGGAAGAGUCAGAGGCUGGACCAGAAAACAGAGACAGGGGAUUAGGUUGUGGGGCUAUGUGAAAAACUAAAGGAUACAAUUGUCAGAGGCUGGAGAAAGGACCCAGUAAUUAAGAAGAGAUGUUGUUCUUACAGAGGACCUGGGUUUAGUUCCCAGCACUGACAUGGUGUUUCAAAGCCAUCCAUAACUCCAGUUUCAGGGGCUCUGAUCCCCUCUUCUGACCUUGCAGGCACCAUACACACAUGUGGUAUACAGUCAUACAUCAGGUAAAUCACUCAUAUACAUAAAAUUAAAAAAAUAAUAUAUCUUAGAGAAUACAGUUGUAACUAUGUUUGGAGGAUCUGGGGACUAUAAAGAUGUAUAUCAAACAAUUACACAUACUCAGGUACACACACAUAUGCACAUACAUACAUACCACAUACCACACCCACACCCACACACAUAUACAUACCAUGCACGCAAACACACAGAGAGAGAAAGCAAGAGAGAGGCAGAAACAGAGAUAUUUCUACAAGAACAAAGAAAAGCAUUAAAAAUGGACACUAGAAAUUACAAGAAAAUUAAGCCGAGUGCAGAGGGCCACAACUGAAAUUUUACAUUCAAGAACUUAAAGCAGGUAUGUCAAAGGGCAGCCAUAGCUCUGGGGACAUACCCUGUGCUAGGUGGGACAGCUCAGUUACAGCUGUCUUGGAAUCAUCUGUAUAUCUGCCUGUAACUCCAGCAGCCUCAUUCAUUCACUAAGUUAUAAUUAGGUGUAAUUGUUUCUUUGGUCUGCUGUCCGUGCCCUAACUGUGGAAGCAGACAUUUGUUCGCAGCUCCUUAGGAGAAGUCACGCCCACUGGCCCAUAACCUGAGAACCUGGAAGAAGUUUAUUCACACCAUAAUUCUGUUGAACAGCUGGGCAUGUAGCAACAGGUCUGUUAUUUCAGAUGUAUUCCAUGGCUCUGACCCCAAAGCUCGGGAGAUUUUGAAAAUUCUAGAAAUCGGGUCUCUUAUGAUUGUCUUACUGGGAACCGUGAAUGAGUUAGGUGAGACAGUCUUGGAAUCCUUCCAUCUACCAGAAAUUCAAAUGCAGAGAAGAACUUCUCAAUUAUUCAUUCAUCCCCUGAUUUAAUCAGUUGUUAAUGUCUGGGGAGAACUCUUUACAGGUACUGAGCUGGAUGGGGAAAUCAAUAAGGCAGAGUCUCUUACAAUUCUCCCUCGAAGAGCUAUAGGAAAGUUCUGGAGAGAGCAGAAGCAGAAGCACUUGCUGUGAAUGAUGAGCUCCCCCAGGUGAGGUUUGAGCUGAGUGCUAUGGAAUAGAAACAAGCUGGCUGAGGGCAUACAGUGAGAAAGAUUGCUGCAGGAAGGGGGGGAUGCAGUGCAAAAGGAAACAUUUUUAAAAUCUGAGUUUGAAUUGACAGCCUGUCCUAUAUAUCAGCCGAAGGGAUAGCUGUUCUUUCUUGCAUGGAAGACAUUUCCUGGGCCAUUAACAGGCAAGGAUACUUCUAGGGCUGGAUGUGAGCUCUCCCCAAGGACUGACCACCCCCAGCCCCUGCCCAGGAAUGUUUGCUUUGGUCCUUUGAUCUCUUCUAAAGCUCUUGAAAAGUCUGUGUGAUUCUCAUUAAACAUUGAGUUAGAGAAACACAUGUGUAUUAAAUGCUUAUCCAGGUGUCACAAUAAGCAUGUGGAGAGCUAAGAUGGAAGGGAAGAAAGAGGGAGAGGGAGGGAAGGAAGGAAGGAAGGGAGGGAGGAAGGAAGGAAGAGUGGACGGACAGACUGAAAGCCUGAAAGCCCCAUGCCCUCUCUGAGGCCCUCAUGAGUUGCUGCUUUGUGGCUUUCAGACUGAGAAACUCUGACCCUUAGUCCAGAGUGCAAAGAGAAUACCCAUUUGGUUUGCUGAAUCUGUAUUCAGUGGUACUGUGGGGCUCUGGGGAUAAAAAGAUGCCUUUGGUGCUUCAGUGACUGGUGAACCUCUACAUGACUGGAGCUGCCAUCUAUUCUACACUAUCCUUCUCCUAGCUUCCCUUGUAAGCAGCCCACCCUCUAUAACAGUGUGGAGUCAGCAUCUCUGAGAACCAUUGUCUGUCAGAUAGAGUGAACAGGAAGAUGGUUUCUGAGCUCACUGAAGCCAACUCCAGAAGCUAACAGCUUGCAAACUAGGAAAAUGAUCCUAACGUCCCUUUAAUGUUAAUCAGGAUCAUAAAAAGCGCAUCAGUAAUCUCACCCUUUCCCCAUUCCUCACACUCACCAACAUCCACAAACAGUUGAGUGAAUAUUUACUGACACCAAGAGUUUUAUUCUGCCUAUGGCCCUCAAGAAUUGUAAAUAAUUUGAAAAUUAUGGGCAGAGUCCACUUUAAUUAAAAACAAAAAAGGGGGGUGGGGGGGCAGCUGUGAAUGCUGGCUGCUAUCAUGCUUGUUAGCUUACAUGUGUAGAAUAUUUUCAAUUAAAUAAACAGAAAUGUGUUUGUUUUUUUUUUUCCAAAAGGCUAUGGCAUCUAAGUGAGUGGGAAG
Long non-coding RNA from Apodemus sylvaticus (European woodmouse), 4639 nucleotides. RefSeq lists it as uncharacterized. NCBI's taxonomy places the organism in Eukaryota, Metazoa, Chordata, Mammalia, Rodentia, Muridae. The transcript is spliced from 5 exons. The record is from RefSeq and is a predicted model, not a curated record.